This 200-nucleotide long non-coding RNA is filed under the name Vigna radiata. RNAcentral describes it as "long non-coding RNA (VRAD_LNC010718)". The record is from RNAcentral. Lineage: Eukaryota; Viridiplantae; Streptophyta; Magnoliopsida; Fabales; Fabaceae.
GGCCGGGUUGGGUUUGAAAAAUACAACUCACUUAUGUGCGGGUCAGAUUUCAACCCGGCUCAUGCGGGUUGAAUCCGUGGUGAGUCGGGUUGACCCACCAACCCACCUACCUAAUUUUAUUUUUUUAAUUUAUUAUUUUAUUUAUGAAACUCUAAAAAAUAAAAUACUAUUUUCACUCAUUAUGUAUACCAAAAAAGCAA